GAAACACUCCAUCCACCAUAAUCAGAGUCGAACAUUUAAUCUCACUUAAGUAAAUCUAAUUACAUUAUUUCUAAUUCAUCUUUAUUAACAUUUUUCAAAAAAAUUAUCAAGGACAACUAAAUAGAUAAAAAUACUUGCACAACUCACUAAAACAAGAGAGCAAAUACAAUCAUUACCCUUAAAAAAUUAAUUUAUAUUUAUUACCUUAGAAAGCAAUAAAUAUUUUAAAUAUUCUUCUCAUUUUAUAAGCAGCAGCAGGAAAUCCACAGCAAUGGCAUUGUCAUCGACUCAUCGUUAUUCAUUGUUAUGUUAAAUUAACUUGCAUUGAUUUCCUCCCCGCAUCAGAUUCUUGAUUUUUUCACUUUUAUCAUCUUUCUCAUCCUUACUGAUCAAAAGCCACAUAAGUCAUUGUCCAGUCGUACAACUUCACUUGAGAAUAAAACUUGAAUUUUGUUUCUAAAUUCCAUCGGACGGUCAAGCUGCGCCAGGUUCUUUGGAAUCUACGGAUGCAAUGGCAACCUGAAAUACAACAGCUUCAGCUUUAAUGGCAAAAAUUGUCAUCCACACUCGAAUACAAUAUCAGCAAAAGAUUAAAACCAAUGUGCCUCAGAAUUGC
This 616-nucleotide unclassified non-coding RNA is filed under the name Hevea brasiliensis (rubber tree). The record is from RNAcentral. Lineage: Eukaryota; Viridiplantae; Streptophyta; Magnoliopsida; Malpighiales; Euphorbiaceae.